This 24-nucleotide non-coding RNA is filed under the name Arabidopsis thaliana (thale cress). The record is from RNAcentral. Lineage: Eukaryota; Viridiplantae; Streptophyta; Magnoliopsida; Brassicales; Brassicaceae.
UAGGACCUUAGAUAAACUCGUAAC